Molecule: long non-coding RNA, 365 nt
Organism: Hemicordylus capensis (graceful crag lizard)
Lineage: Eukaryota; Metazoa; Chordata; Lepidosauria; Squamata; Cordylidae
Exons: 3
Source: RefSeq, a predicted model, not a curated record
UUGAUCUCUAGAGCAUGUGUGUCUAGUAAAGAACAGAGCAGCCCUCCAAAAAAGGCUGUGUAAUAUAUCAUAUUAGGCCAACUUCAGCUUGUGAAAGAAGAUGCAGAAUCCCACCAGUCCUGCUUUGUACUCUGUGGAUGUUGUGACAGGUGGGAAGGAAGCUUGCAGUGAGUCCUGAUAGCCUGCAAAUGAUGGAACACAUCAAAUGUUUAUUCUGAGAACUGUUUGAUCCAGUUUCGGGGUUGGUUGAAGAGCUGAUAAAAUCCUUGUUGGGCCUUCUUAACAGGUCAUCACUCAACCUGAUCAUGUGACCAUCUUAUUUAGAAAAUCUAAUGCUUCCUGUUCCAGAAAGCUUAGCCCUUGAG